GAGUAAUUAGCUCAGUUGGUUAGAGUGCCUCUCUUACAAAGAGGAUGUCAGCGGUUCAAUUCCGUUAUUACUCA
Molecule: transfer RNA, 74 nt
Filed under: Proteromonas lacertae
Lineage: Eukaryota; Bigyra; Opalinata; Proteromonadidae
Description: tRNA-Val
Rfam family: tRNA
About the family: Transfer RNA (tRNA) molecules are approximately 80 nucleotides in length.
Source: RNAcentral